AGCGAACGCUGGCGGAAUGCUUAACACAUGCAAGUCGCACGGGCAGCAAUGUCAGUGGCGGACGGGUGAGUAACGCGUAGGAAUGUGUCCUGAGAUGGGGGACAACGCCGGGAAACUGGCGCUAAUACCGCAUAUGGCCUGAGGGUCAAAGCCGCAAGGCGUCUUAGGAGCAGCCUGCGUCCGAUUAGCUUGUUGGUGGG
This 200-nucleotide ribosomal RNA is filed under the name uncultured bacterium. RNAcentral's name for it is "partial 16S ribosomal RNA". It matches the Rfam family "Bacterial small subunit ribosomal RNA", at positions 29 to 256 of the family's 1533-position model. The record is from RNAcentral.